Molecule: non-coding RNA, 92 nt
Organism: Lineolata rhizophorae
Lineage: Eukaryota; Fungi; Ascomycota; Dothideomycetes; Lineolatales; Lineolataceae
Source: the annotation of a GenBank genome assembly
GUCGCCGUGGUCUAACGGUUAGGAUUGCUGCCUUCCAUGAAGCGAAAAUUCGCCGCGAGCAGCAGGCUCGGGUUCGACUCCCGACGGCGACA